RNAcentral lists this ribosomal RNA (119 nucleotides) under Triticum aestivum (bread wheat). The record is from RNAcentral. Lineage: Eukaryota; Viridiplantae; Streptophyta; Magnoliopsida; Poales; Poaceae.
GGAUGCGAUCAUACCAGCACUAAAGCACCAGAUCCCAUCAGAACUCCAAAGUUAAGCAUGCUUGGGCGAGAGUAGUACUAGGAUGGGUGACCUCCUGGGAAGUCCUCGUGUUGCAUUCC